RNAcentral lists this ribosomal RNA (131 nucleotides) under Pyrenula infraleucotrypa. RNAcentral describes it as "partial small subunit ribosomal RNA". The record is from RNAcentral. Lineage: Eukaryota; Fungi; Ascomycota; Eurotiomycetes; Pyrenulales; Pyrenulaceae.
AAGUCGUAACAAGGUUUCCGUAGGUAAGUAUACACCGUCGGCGAACCCUACGGCUCUUCUCCCUCCCCUUCUUUCGGCGCCUUUGGCUAAUCUUCCUGUGCUCUUUAGGUGAACCUGCGGAAGGAUCAUCA